Molecule: ribosomal RNA, 253 nt
Filed under: uncultured bacterium
Lineage: Bacteria
Description: partial 16S ribosomal RNA
Rfam family: Bacterial small subunit ribosomal RNA
Source: RNAcentral
UACGUAGGGCGCAAGCGUUGUCCGGAAUUAUUGGGCGUAAAGAGCUCGUAGGCGGCUUGUCACGUCUGCUGUGAAAACUCGGGGCUCAACCCCGAGCCUGCAGUGGAUACGGGCUAGCUAGAGUGCGGUAGGGGAGACUGGAAUUCCUGGUGUAGCGGUGAAAUGCGCAGAUAUCAGGAGGAACACCGGUGGCGAAGGCGGGUCUCUGGACCGAUACUGACGCUGAGGCACGAAGGUCAGGGGAGCAAACGGG